CAGUUUGAUUCUAGCUGCGUGAUUAAUAAUACUAAAAUAAAACACAUGCAAACCUUCUCCCACCGUGAUUAAGUUUUCCUAUUAAAUAAUUUCACCUUAUAAUAAUGUAUCCCUUAAAUAUAUAAAUAUCUCACGCCUGCAGUGGACAACUCUUAACAAUUAAUUAACGUUCGAUUAGGUUUUAUAUAUUUAUGCUGACCAAAUCUGUGCCAGCAGUCGCGGUUAUACAGAAAGCACAAUUUAAUCUUCUAUAGGAAUGAUUAUGAAGAAAUAAAAUUUCACCAGGAGUCCAAUCCCCCAAACUCAAUUCCUUUUUCUUCCCCAUAAAUCGAAAGUAUAACCUAAAACAAGGAUUAGAUACCCUUCUAUUCUAAACUCUAAACCUUUACCUGGGCACUACGAACUCAUGUUUAAAACCCAAAGACCUUGGCGGUAAUCUAACCUCUUAGGGGAACCUGUAAUUUAAUUUGAUACUCCCCAACAACCUUCCUCUUUAUCCCUCAGCUUGUGUACUGCCGUCGUCAGUUUACCUUAAAAAGAUAGUAAACUAAAAAUUCCUAAAUUUUACGUCAGGUCAAAGUGCAGCUUAUAUAAGAGCAUCCAUGGGUUACAAUCUCUACUAAGACAGCGGACAUUUAAAUGAAAAUUUAUUUUAAAGUUGGACCUAACCGCAAAUUCUGCUACCCUUCAGUUUUGAAUCUGGAAAUCUAGAUUAUGCACAAAUCGCCCGUCACUCCCCUCUAAAGAGGGGAUAAGUCGUAACAUAGUAGGGGUAAUGGAAAUUGCCCCUA
RNAcentral lists this non-coding RNA (791 nucleotides) under Levensteiniella iris. Lineage: Eukaryota; Metazoa; Annelida; Polychaeta; Phyllodocida; Polynoidae. The record is from RNAcentral.